This 253-nucleotide ribosomal RNA is filed under the name uncultured bacterium. Its description in RNAcentral is "partial 16S ribosomal RNA". It matches the Rfam family "Bacterial small subunit ribosomal RNA", at positions 524 to 776 of the family's 1533-position model. The record is from RNAcentral.
UACGAAGGGUGCAAACGUUGCUCGGAAUCAUUGGGCGUAAAGCGCACGUAGGCGGCCCGAUAAGUCGGAUGUGAAAUCCCUCGGCUCAACCGAGGACGUGCAUUCGAAACUGUCGGGCUCGAGUAUGGAAGAGGGUCGCGGAAUUCCCGGUGUAGAGGUGAAAUUCGUAGAUAUCGGGAGGAACACCAGUGGCGAAGGCGGCGACCUGGGCCAAUACUGACGCUGAGGUGCGAAAGCGUGGGGAGCAAACGGG